This 210-nucleotide ribosomal RNA is filed under the name Platythyrea pilosula. Its description in RNAcentral is "partial 28S ribosomal RNA". The record is from RNAcentral. Lineage: Eukaryota; Metazoa; Arthropoda; Insecta; Hymenoptera; Formicidae.
UGCUUGAGAGUGCUGAGAGUGUCGUUGUAAUUGCAUUCCGCCGGACUGAUAGUCGCUAUCAUGAUGGUCUUGGAGUUGCCGCCCAGGGAAUCCUUCAGUAACCAUGUGAGUACGCUAUCGCGAUAAGGGAUAAACGUGUUGCGUUUCGAGGCGGACGCGUCACCGCUGGCAGAACUGAGCUCAGAGAGUGUGGAUAUCACAGUGCCUAAA